Molecule: ribosomal RNA, 183 nt
Filed under: uncultured bacterium
Lineage: Bacteria
Description: partial 16S ribosomal RNA
Rfam family: Bacterial small subunit ribosomal RNA
Source: RNAcentral
UGAGCAAUCUGCCCUUCUCUUCGGAAUAAGCGUGGGAAACCGCGUCUAAUGCCGAAUACGACCUCCUUUCGCAUGAUCGGAGGUGGAAAGCUCCGGCGGAGAAGGAUGAGCUCGCGGCCUAUAAGCUAGUUGGUGAGGUAACGGCUCACCAAGGCGACGACGGGUAGCNUGGUCGUGAGAGGA